UAGAUGAUAGUGUACUCUAGGAAUCAGACUUGCUUUCCUGAAAAAAUGUGAAGGGCCUUUCCCCUUUUCAAAUCACUCUUUUUCUUUCUGCUUAUUUUCAAUUUCAGUUUUGUGAACAUAUAAUAUACUAAUAUACAACUCAAUGUAGGAAGUCCUUCUAUUAUAAUCAUUUAAUUUGGAGUCAAUGGUAACAUGAAACGAAACUCAGAAACUGAGGCAUGGGAGUACCAUCUUUCUGCUGGGUAUCACUGUACGCGUUAGAUUGUCUACCUGGGUAUGAAUGCCAGCUGUCCACAUAAACAUAGUAAUCUAAACCUUGCACUUCUUUUGAAGUAAAUUAUUGUCUGUAAA
RNAcentral lists this long non-coding RNA (351 nucleotides) under Bos taurus (domestic cattle). RNAcentral describes it as "long non-coding RNA NONBTAT000802". The record is from RNAcentral. Lineage: Eukaryota; Metazoa; Chordata; Mammalia; Artiodactyla; Bovidae.